This 373-nucleotide ribosomal RNA is filed under the name uncultured organism. Its description in RNAcentral is "bacterial SSU rRNA". It matches the Rfam family "Bacterial small subunit ribosomal RNA", at positions 526 to 896 of the family's 1533-position model. The record is from RNAcentral.
CGUAGGGAGCAAGCGUUGUUCGGAUUUACUGGGCGUAAAGGGCGCGUAGGCGGCAAUUCAAGUCAUCUGUGAAAUCUCCGGGCUUAACUCGGAACGGUCAGAUGAUACUGCUUUGCUAGAGUGCAGAAGGGGCAAUCGGAAUUCUCGGUGUAGCGGUGAAAUGCGUAGAUAUCGAGAGGAACACCAGAGGUGAAGACGGGUUGCUGGGCUGACACUGACGCUGAGGCGCGAAAGCCAGGGGAGCAAACGGGAUUAGAUACCCCGGUAGUCCUGGCCCUAAACGAUGAAUACUUGGUGUCUGGAGUUAUUAGUGCUCCGGGUGCCGUCGCUAACGUUUUUAGUAUUCCGCCUGGGGAGUACGCUCGCAAGAGUG